Molecule: ribosomal RNA, 409 nt
Filed under: uncultured bacterium
Lineage: Bacteria
Description: bacterial SSU rRNA
Rfam family: Bacterial small subunit ribosomal RNA
Source: RNAcentral
UGGGGAAUAUUGCACAAUGGGCGAAAGCCUGAUGCAGCGACGCCGCGUGAGGGAUGAAGGCCUUCGGGUUGUAAACCUCUUUCAGCAGGGAAGAAGCGAAAGUGACGGUACCUGCAGAAGAAGCACCGGCUAACUACGUGCCAGCAGCCGCGGUAAUACGUAGGGUGCGAGCGUUGUCCGGAAUUAUUGGGCGUAAAGAGCUUGUAGGCGGUUUGUCGCGUCUGCAGUGAAAAUCCGGGGCUCAACCCCGGACUUGCUGUGGGUACGGGCAGACUAGAGUAUGGUAGGGGAGACCGGAAUUCCUGGUGUAGCGGUGGAAUGCGCAGAUAUCAGGAGGAACACCGAUGGCGAAGGCAGGUCUCUGGGCCAUAACUGACGCUGAGAAGCGAAAGCAUGGGGAGCGAACAGG